RNAcentral lists this long non-coding RNA (269 nucleotides) under Nicotiana benthamiana. RNAcentral describes it as "long non-coding RNA (NBEN_LNC011287)". Lineage: Eukaryota; Viridiplantae; Streptophyta; Magnoliopsida; Solanales; Solanaceae. The record is from RNAcentral.
ACUAUAUAUAUGCGUUUCUUAGGAGAAUAUGCAGGGAAAAUAGUGUGAUCUUCAACGUACCUCAUGAGAGCCUCUUGAACGUUGGACAAAUUUUCUAUGUAUAAAAAUAUUCGCAAAUGAUUAAUCGAAGAUAUUAUUGACUUGUAUGGUCAUCAGUUGGCUUUUUUUCGCAAAUGAUUAAUCGAAGAUAUUAUUUUGUAUGAUCAUCAGUUGGCUAGCGACGGAUCAAAUGGUUUGGUUAAUAUUUACAAAUUUGUUUGUAGUUUUAU